This 253-nucleotide ribosomal RNA is filed under the name uncultured bacterium. RNAcentral describes it as "partial 16S ribosomal RNA". It matches the Rfam family "Bacterial small subunit ribosomal RNA", at positions 524 to 776 of the family's 1533-position model. The record is from RNAcentral.
UACAGAGGGUGCAAGCGUUGUUCGGAAUUAUUGGGCGUAAAGGGAGUGUAGGCGGCUGGGAAAGUCUUCUGUGAAAUCUACGGGCUUAGCCUGUAAAGUGCAGAGGAAACUUCCCGGCUUGAGUGUCGGAGAGGAUAGUGGAAUUCCCGGUGUAGAGGUGAAAUUCGUAGAGAUCGGGAGGAACACCAGUGGCGAAGGCGACUAUCUGGCUGACAACUGACGCUGAGACUCGAAAGCAUGGGGAGCAAACAGG